Myotis daubentonii (Daubenton's bat) is the source of this 325-nucleotide long non-coding RNA. RefSeq lists it as uncharacterized. Lineage: Eukaryota; Metazoa; Chordata; Mammalia; Chiroptera; Vespertilionidae. The record is from RefSeq and is a predicted model, not a curated record.
CCCGCAGUUUUGAAGAGCCGGCCUUGUGAAAUUAUCGGCUGGGACACGGCUAACUUCUGACACCGCUGCAGCUGAGAGAUCAUGGACACCUGCCAGCAAAGCCACUGAGGCUGAGCCUCCCUGUGUGCGUCUGAUGGAAACCAUUAGUCAUCCCUCAGCACUCUGUCCUCCUGCGUUCCUUUCUGGGCAACCUACCUAGCAGUUGUUCGCGGAGGUCAUUUAUUGAACGUGGAAGUCCCUGUUUGGCCAUCCAUGGAAGGUUGCUGUUCCUUGGAUCUUCCCUGUGAGGUGAACCAGAGUGUCUUUGGGUGGCUGUGUUUAUGCC